AUGAAUAAUUGGGGACCCAAUUUAUUGGAAAACUUCUCAAUAUAUUUCAAAUGUUAUAUUCCACUCACUAUCGCACUGAAUAUGUUAGGGAAAAUCUCCAAUAACACAAUUAUUAUAAGCCUGAUGUCGAAAAAUAUCCGGGAUUGCUUUGACGAAACGAUGUGACGUGUCGGUCCAAUCGCCGGUGUAUCUGGAAAACGCGGCCGGUGUAUCUGAUGCC
Bactrocera oleae (olive fruit fly) is the source of this 220-nucleotide non-coding RNA. The record is from RefSeq and is a predicted model, not a curated record. Lineage: Eukaryota; Metazoa; Arthropoda; Insecta; Diptera; Tephritidae.